GGGGACGAGUGGAUUCGACAGGGAACCGCUUUGUUAGAUUGCAAGCCGAGGAUGUCGUUAGUCUCGUAAAAACAAUGACAAAAAAAUAAUUGGCAAGAAACAACUUGCACUAGCUGCCUAAAACCAGCUACGUCUGAUCUUUGACUCUCUAGAUAAAAGUAUCAGGCGCCGUUAAUCUAGAGUGCCCUUAAUGAAGCCGCUAACCUUCUUUAAGUCAAGAAAUUGCUAGCUAGUUUUUUCAUAAUCUGCCAUCGUGAUAGUGGAUAAAUGAAAUUAUAAACGAUGGAUAAGCUUGUAGUAGAUCUCAACUGAGGAUUUUCUGGACGGGGAGUUCGACCCUCCCCCGUCUCCACCA
Molecule: transfer-messenger RNA, 355 nt
Filed under: Dehalococcoidia
Lineage: Bacteria; Bacillati; Chloroflexota
Also listed under: 4 other names
Description: UBA6952 sp009392515 Standard tmRNA
Rfam family: transfer-messenger RNA
About the family: Bacterial tmRNA, also known as 10Sa RNA or SsrA, is named for its dual tRNA and mRNA-like properties.
Source: RNAcentral